AUGGGUAAUUCAAGAAGCAAGGCGGUUGAUCAGCAACCAGAAGAGGACGUUACUACGGACCUUACAAGCUCUAUAAUAGUUGAAGAUAACAAUGCAAGCAUCAUACAUGUAUCUCAAAACAUUGGGGAAAAUUCAGCUACGGUUCCAGAUGGAUCAAUGUCGUUUUCGGAUGGAGAGCACAAUGAGGCUUGCUUCACAGCUCCGAGUAUACUGAAUUUGGAUUUUAGCACAAAUCAAGAUGAUGGAACAAGUCCGCUACGGAUUAAAGACCAUCAUGAUGGUUCGUUGUUGGGUUCCAAUAAUCUAACUCUCGAUUGUGGCACAAAUGUAGAUGGCCACAAUAGUAUUGGCGGUGAACCUCCAAACGAUGAUAUCGAUGGUGCGACAAAGCUAACAGACGACAUCAGAUCCAUAGAUCUAAGUCAUAUAACAAAUGAACACCUCAACACACAAAGGCGUGCAGCUUAUCAUAAGAAAAAAGUACAAGACAAUGUGUUGUUGCAGGAGGUUCAACAGCCCUGCUUGUCGAAAUCUGACCAGAGGGAACUUAACAAUGCGUGGAGGCGGGAAUCUUAUCGAAUUAGCAAGACAAAUGGUUUGAAAAAACAACAAGUCGAUGGCCACAUUGUUCAACGUCGUACCCUAGGUGAUAUCACGAAUGUUCGUCAACCUACACAUGUGAUCUCGGAGGACAACAAUGUCACCAAAGAGAAUGUGGCAAUAACCGAAGAAGAUCGCAAAAGAGAUCAUAGAAACGCCCUCAGGAGAGCAUCUUAUCGGAGGAAAAAAGAUCAGGGUCUCCAAGAAAAUAAUCUCCGCACCCUUAAUUUAACUGACAACCCAACUAGCUCCGCCUAUACAACAUUAUCGCAUACUGAUUCAGCAUUUACUGCUACAACUACGGAGACAUCUUGUCUGGUUAAUGACAAUGAUCUACAUGACGUUGACGAGAAUAUACUUGAAGAAACAAAUCAUAUAACCGAGGAAGAUCGCAAGAGAGAUCAUAGAAAUGCUCUUAGGAGAGCAUCUUAUCGGAGGAAAAAGGAUAAGAUAUUAGCAGAUGAAAAUCUACGGCCACUAUCUAAUUCAGAGUGGCUCCUGGUGCCGCCACGCCUUUGA
This 1119-nucleotide ribosomal RNA is filed under the name Triticum aestivum (bread wheat). Its description in RNAcentral is "partial small subunit ribosomal RNA". Lineage: Eukaryota; Viridiplantae; Streptophyta; Magnoliopsida; Poales; Poaceae. The record is from RNAcentral.